Molecule: long non-coding RNA, 3377 nt
Filed under: Homo sapiens (human)
Lineage: Eukaryota; Metazoa; Chordata; Mammalia; Primates; Hominidae
Description: HSALNT0319057
Source: RNAcentral
AAAUCUAGCAAACAACCUGACAGACUGUUCAGUCUUUAAUAAUGUGAGAAUAAACAGAAUAAAUUAAAAGCACACCAUAUUCUUCUCAGCUUCCUCAGGGGCUUUGUCCAAACAGCUUGAACAACUGCAAAAUAAUAUUCAGGAACCAUGAUAGUGUUUGGUACAUAGAGGACACUGGAAAUGGUUUUCUUAACUGAACAAGUGACUAGAAUAAAGGAAUUAAUGAACGACAUCAGAGCUGAAAUCCCAAACCAUAAAUCAUAAAAGGAUCAGACAGCAAAGAGUACUCAAAAGCUGAUUUAUUGAGAUCCUGAUGAGUUUGAAGUAACUAGAAACUUGAUCAAGACCCUGACUAAUAUAAGAUGAUUUUUUAAAACUGGAAUCUCAGUGGAUUCGUCUCAACACGGCCAGAUGGAUGAUUCUUCCAGGGACUAAUGAACUUGUUAGAAUUUCGGAUAACAUUUGGUUGUCAAAAAAAAAAAAAGAGCAUAAAAAGUAAUAGACCAUAACUGAGAUGGGUGGGGCUUAUUCUAGAUAAGAUAGUCAAGGACUGACAUAUGGGAAGAAGGCUACCUUCUGUGAAGGCAUCAGCCAUUGAGGAUGCUACUUCUGUAGCAUCUGGAGCAAAAUAUUCCAGGCAAAGGGAAUAAGAAGUGACUCUAAAAUAAUCAAUAAUAUGGAAAUUGUACAGCAGAAGUUGAAAGAUUAGAGAGGCAGAAGUUCAGUGAGAAAAAAAAAAAGUAGAAUAGAUAAGGUCAAAGGCUUAAGCCAUAGCAUAUCAGACAGGCUAAUGUUGACCAUUAAAGAAAGUUCCAAAUUCUAAGAGUAAUAGGAGGCUAUUAGAUGUAUUUAAUUAAGAAAGGAUGUGCACUGAUGAGCAUCUUAAACAGAUAGCUUGCUGCUAUUUAGAGAACAGAUUGCAAGAGGGAAAGACCAGCAGUACAAAUAUUGGCUAGUCUGCUACUUCUAUAGUACAAGUGAAGGAUGAUGAUAAAAAGAGGACAUUCGUGGUGGAGUAGGGGUUUUUUAAUUUUAUUUUGAUGAUGGAGCUACAAGAGUUUCUGAUGAUAAUAUAUGUGUGGUUAGAAAAUAAAGUCUUAAUCAACUGGGCACAUGAUGAUCCCAUUUCCAGAAAUAGGAAAGAUUGGGGGAAAAUAGAUUGGAUGGGAGGAAAAAAAAUCAGAAGUUAUAUUUCAGUUAUGUUAAUUUUUAUGUUAAUUUGGUUAUGAUAAGUUUUACUAAAUCAGACAAGAAUAGAAGGAAUCAAUGAUGUGUCUUUGCUACAUCUGAAAGAACUGAUUGGCAUAGAAACUAGAAGAGAUUCCAGAAGAAAUCUAUUUAGGGAAUCUUAAAUGGACUAAAGUUAAGACUAAAAAAAAUUCUGUAUUUCAGUUGACGGAAACUGUGCAUCCCUCCAGCAAUUCUGGAAACCACACGGAGCACGUUGCCUACUGUACAUAAUUCUGGUUUAAGGGGGCCAGAGAGGUGGGAGUGGUGUGGAGCAGGUAGUGUAAGAAUCACUGCAGCUUCCUAUUAAUAAUAAAAAUGUGCAAGACAAUAAACACGGCUGCUAUACCAAAGAAAAGCAGAUUUCUACUCAGAAGAAAAUUCUCUGAGUGACUGCCUCUAUCUGUACCUCUUUCCUGUAACCCUAUAGCCUUCCAACUUACUGAACUACAAUAUAAAACUGUAGGAAACAAUCAGCUUUACUAUAAAGCUAUAGUAAAGUUUUGUUCAGUUUUUUUUCUGAAUUCAUAGAAGGCUAUUGAUUCAGAAUCCAUAGCCACGCCUGUCACAUCAUUUUGCCUGUUUUCAUUUAGAAUCCUUUCCCUACAAAUUUCAAAAGUGUCCUUAGUGUUUUAAAUACUGUUCUUUGCACCUUAUGUUUCAAGUAUUAAGCACUUUUCUCACCUGCAUUUCCGAGCUGAAUUCACCAGCUGGACGCCAUUCCAGUCCACUUAUAACCCAGGCUUAGAAUACCCUCAUAUUCAGGGAAAGGGCAGUUGUCAUAUAACCUGUGACUCUCACCUUCGAUGAUUUUGUGAUCUGUGCUACUGCCUGUAGCCUAGUAUGCAUUAUAACUAAGCUGCUAAGCUAUAUUCUGUUGUUUUUUACUCCUACCAAUGAAGUUGACUAUGUAUUUCCAGUAAAGAAAAAGUUCAUUUUAAAAUCCACACACUAGCCGACUGGGUGCGGUGGCUCACGCCUGUAAUCCCAGUACUUUGGGAGGCCAAGGCGGGCGGAUCACGAGGUCAAGAGAUCGAGACCAUCCUGGCUAACACGGUGAAACCCCGUCUCUACUAAAAAUACAAAAAAAAAAAAAAAAAUUAGCUGGGCAUGGUGGCGGACACCUGUAGUCCCAGCUACUCUGGAGGCUGAGGCAGGAGAAUGGCGUGAACCCGGGAGGCAGAGCUUGCAGUGAGCCGAGAUCAUGCCACUGCAUUCCAGCCUGGGCGACAGAGCGAGACUCCGUCUCAAAAAAUAAAAUGAAAUAAAAUCCACACACUAAACAUCUCUGUUCUCUGUGGAAAGACACAAUUUCAGCAUCAAUUAAAAUAUAACUUUAUGUAGGUAAGGUAUUUGAUCUUAGUGAUGUGUUUCUCUUAAUUUCAGACAGUGACAAGACCCAAGAUUUGUUUUACUCUAAAGUGAGAAAUUAUCCUCAACAAAAAAACAUUUCACAGUGAGAAUCAGAAGAAUAUUUGCAUCAGGCAACUCUGGGUGCUAGAUAUUUAUUUUUUUUCUUUUUCACAUGAACUAUAAAAACUUACCACAAAAGACUGAUCUCCACAACUGCUUAUACUCUAGGUAUGUGAACAUAAGCAUAAACCCAAAGGUCAUUAUCCAGUCACAGUUUGGUAUUUUAUCAACAUCAUGGCAAAUGAUGUUGUUCAUAAGAACCUGAAUCUUAUGCUUCCAUUUUCCAGGAUUAUUAUACAUUGCACUGUUCUUGCUGAUACUCCAAAGACAUGUAGAAAAUAGAAAGGUAAGUUUGCAGGAGGAAAAAAGAACAAUGGAAUGAAGAAGCAAACAGGGAGUUAAAAUAACUCCUUGGAAUAGUAGAAUCAGGAAAGCAAAGGUAAAGCAUUAAAGUCUAAGGGCUGCAUGACUCCUAAGGGGAAAAUGCAUGUAUUUCUUUUAUUUUGCACUGAGAUUAAAUUUGCUGAUUUUUUUUCAUACUGUGUGUUCUUUCGCUCCCAAUCCUCACAUAAAAUAUUUCAGGGUGACCAACUGCUCUUUUGUGUUACAUUUUAAACAGGUAGAUGACUUUCACAUGUAGGCAAAGUUGAUUCUAGGAAUUAUUGUGAGGUAAGAGAAAUGUGUUUGAGACAAGGUGUGGUCUCUUCUUCUUAAGUUUUCCUCUCUGCAUGUUUUUA